Molecule: non-coding RNA, 29 nt
Filed under: Cricetulus griseus (Chinese hamster)
Lineage: Eukaryota; Metazoa; Chordata; Mammalia; Rodentia; Cricetidae
Source: RNAcentral
AAUGCUGUUGGAAGCUUGCAGGUCAUUGC